Molecule: long non-coding RNA, 457 nt
Organism: Limulus polyphemus (Atlantic horseshoe crab)
Lineage: Eukaryota; Metazoa; Arthropoda; Merostomata; Xiphosura; Limulidae
Exons: 2
Source: RefSeq, a predicted model, not a curated record
GCGUCUUUAUAGAGUCUACGUGUUAACGGAGGUACAUGUAUAUUUGAGACAGCUGUUGGAGGUGGUUACGUAUAUACCAAGUAAACUAGGGUGUUCGGUUUGAAAAUAUAAUAUAUUUAAAUAACGAAAAUGUCCGAAGAACAUUUUGACGAAUACGAACAUUACAAUUUUGACCAAGAUAAGCAUAUGUUCUCGGGACACAGCGGAAAGCAAAGAACCAAGAAAGAAGCUAGUGAACAUACUAAUUUCUCUGAUCCUGGUGGUCAUUCUCGCAAACUAGUUACAAAAAUGCAGAACACUGAGCAAAAUAGAAAGGACACUGAAAAGGUACCAAAAGAAAAGAAGCAGAAUUCUUAGUCGUGAAAACUUUUGGUAAACGGCAUUAACUAUAUAUACAGAAUGAUGACGGACCAAUGUGUGAGCGAGAAAAUCAGAAACUCGAAGAAAAUUUUUAAUA